RNAcentral lists this long non-coding RNA (582 nucleotides) under Androctonus crassicauda. The record is from RNAcentral. Lineage: Eukaryota; Metazoa; Arthropoda; Arachnida; Scorpiones; Buthidae.
AUUGUAUAAGACAGCUUGCAGAGAAAAUUGAGACUGCAUAAUUUUUGAAGAAACGAACCAUUCUGUCAUGUACUAUAUUUCAUAUAACGAAUUGUGAAAGAUAAAAAUCAAAUUAAUACAGGUAACUGUUUUAUUUAUUAAAAAAUUUAUUUGCCUUCCCAACUUUAUGCAUCCCUAUGCAAUGUUUAGAAGGUUUAGUGCCUCAAACCAGUCAUGUACGGAGAAGUCUAGAGAGAUAAAUAAUUUGGCAUCGGGGUUAUCUCUAAUCAUAGAAGGGCAUAAGUAAAACAAAUCAAUAUCCAAAUCGAUUAGUUAUUUCAAAAAUUAUAAAUAGAGGAUGCAUAAUACACGAAAUAAACAAACACACACACAAAUAAACACAAAAACAUACACACAACACAUAGCUCUUUUAUGCUUUUUGAAUGGCAAGGAGUUUAACCAAUGCAGUGUACUGUAUACACAUUCAGACAGACACCAGCAUAAUGAUCUUAUAAUUAUUCCUCAAUUUCAUUUGGAAAGUAGAUUAAUAAUCUCUUCAGCGCGCGAGGAUAAAAGUUAUUGAUGUAGAUAAAAAGAAAUGAU